UACGUAGGUGACAAGCGUUGUCCGGAUUUACUGGGCGGAAAGAGCGCGCAGGCGGUCGUUCAAGUCGAGUGUGAAAGCCCCCGGCUCAACUGGGGAGGGUCAUUCGAUACUGAUCGACUCGAAGGCAGGAGAGGGUAGUGGAAUUCCCGGUGUAGUGGUGAAAUGCGUAGAUAUCGGGAGGAACACCAGUGGCGAAGGCGACUACCUGGCCUGUUCUUGACGCUGAGGCGCGAAAGCUAGGGGAGCAAACGGG
RNAcentral lists this ribosomal RNA (253 nucleotides) under uncultured bacterium. RNAcentral's name for it is "partial 16S ribosomal RNA". It matches the Rfam family "Bacterial small subunit ribosomal RNA", at positions 524 to 776 of the family's 1533-position model. The record is from RNAcentral.